UCGCAAGCGAAAUGCGGUGACACUGAAGUAGUUAGGCGGGUGAUGAGUGGUUCUAAGGAUGGAUCACAGCUGACGCGUAUAUAAAACAAGGCAAAGCUUGUUGUCCAAACACACAACGAAACCAGGAGUGGUAGAGUGGAUCUCACCAUUGCUGGCUACUUUAGAUGGAGAAUCCUGUUCGGAUACACUACCCAGAACAGAUCAGAGGCGGCGACGCUUCAACGUCAUCGCUGGACUAUUGCCGCACCCUCUAAUAUUCCCGUUUG
Anopheles merus is the source of this 266-nucleotide long non-coding RNA. RefSeq lists it as uncharacterized. The record is from RefSeq and is a predicted model, not a curated record. NCBI's taxonomy places the organism in Eukaryota, Metazoa, Arthropoda, Insecta, Diptera, Culicidae. The transcript has 2 exons.